RNAcentral lists this ribosomal RNA (485 nucleotides) under uncultured bacterium. RNAcentral's name for it is "partial 16S ribosomal RNA". It matches the Rfam family "Bacterial small subunit ribosomal RNA", at positions 899 to 1397 of the family's 1533-position model. The record is from RNAcentral.
ACUCAAAUGAAUUGACGGGGACCCGCACAAGCGGAGGAUGAUGUGGUUUAAUAUGACGAUACGCGUAGAACCUUACCAAGGCUUGACAUCCCUGGGAUCUCUUGGAAACAGGAGAGUGCCUUCGGGAGCCAGGUGACAGGUGCUGCAUGGCCGUCGUCAGCUCGUGUCGUGAGAUGUUGGGUUAAGUCCCGCAACGAGCGCAACCCUUGUCGUAUGUUGAAUUUUUCAUACGAGACUGCCCGGGCCAACCGGGAGGAAGGUGGGGUCGAAGUCAGGUCAGCAUGGCCCUUACGCCUUGGGCUACACACGUCAUACAAUGGCCGGUACAACGCGUUGCCAAGCCGCGAGGCGGAGCUAAUCGCACCAAAACCGGUCUCAGUUCGGAUUGGAGGCUGCAACUCGCCUCCAUGAAGUUGGAUUCGCUAGUAACCGUGGGUCAGCAUACCGCGGUGAAUACGUUCCCGGGUCUUGCACACACCGCCCGU